This is a long non-coding RNA of Motacilla alba alba, 7922 nucleotides long. RefSeq lists it as uncharacterized. The record is from RefSeq and is a predicted model, not a curated record. The transcript is spliced from 3 exons. Lineage: Eukaryota; Metazoa; Chordata; Aves; Passeriformes; Motacillidae.
CGGUGCCUGAGGCGGGGGUUGCGGGGCUUUCCUGAGGUGGGAAUGGUGGAGCCUUUCCUGAGGCGGGAGGGGCCGCCGCGCGUGCUCCCGGGGGCGUGGCCGUGGUACGUGCGCUCCGUUGUCAUUGGCGCCGCACCCGGAAGAGCCGCUGGCGCCUGCGCGCUGGGGCCGCCGCCCUGCAUCCCCGUUCCGCUGAGGAGAUGGAGGCGGCGGCGCGGCGGCGGCCGCGGGAGCCGGAACCGCAGGAGCGGGAGCAGGACGAUGGUGGGCAGGUGAUGUCACGAUCCCUAUCGGGACAGUCCUACUGGCUGGACCUGUGGCUCUUCAUCCUCUUCGACGUGGCGCUUUUCCUGCUUAUCUACCUGCUGCCCUGAGGGCGCGGCCCAGGGCCAUUGCCACCGAGGGAAUUCUCACCUAUUUCGCACCUUAUGAACACAGGCCGUGGAAGAAGAGGAGCAUUUAUGCGGGAUAAGCAACUGGGAACACGGCUCCACUUGAAUGUGGAUGGAGGAGGCACAUUUUUGUACUGUAGUGUGGUAGAGCUCUGUGUGUCACAAGGGUUUCUGUUCGGGUUUUGCCCGUGUCCUGUUGGUGUGUCCUGAGCUGUGCCUUAGAGGUCCCGUACGACAGACUGACCGUGCUUUGUGAUCAGUGCCUAAAGGUUUGUUGGUCGGACAUGGAAGUAUGCACUGUGCCAAUAAAAUCCACUGAAAGGACACUCUGCGGAGUGGCUGAGAAUAAAACCAAGCUCUUCUGUACACCGAAGUUGUAACUCAGACCUGUUCCCUCAACAGAUGAAGCUUGGCCAGCUGUUCUGCUUCCAAAAACUUAAUCCUAAUGGGUUGAUGCUGGUUGGUUUUCUAUGAUACGUUUCUGUUUUUUCUUUCUUUACUUUCAGCAGUUACUGAACCCUCUCAGGCUCAGUAUUUAUAGAUAUAAAUAUAUACAUGUAUAAACACGUCGGUGUUUAACCCAGCAGCAGGGUCCUGUCCUCACUUACUGAUUAGGAUAAAUCAGGUUCUGCUUUCCUUGCUAGAAACUGUGAAGGAGGAGCUUACAAGAGCAGCCUUGAGUCACUGGCAGAUGACACAUGAAGCUCCCUCCUCCUCAACACCCAUGGAUGGUAGGAGUAGACAGUGACAGGUAAUUAAAAUGUUUCAACAUCAAUUUCCUCUGUCUCACCAGAGGGAGGCUUUAAAACUUGUGUUAAAGGGAGGAGUCUUUUGCAGACUUUGGAGAAAGAAGCAGAAGCUGGGCACAUGGAAUGAAUUUUUUGCCAGGGCACGUUUGGGGGAAGACAGCUUUCAAGCAAUGGAUGAAGGAGAUUGAGUUUUCUUUAGCAUUUUUCCCUUGGGAAUACUAAUUUCUAAUUCUGAGAAGUACAAUCCAGACUUGGUGGAUUUUUGCUUUGUUUUUAUUUGGUUUGUUUUUUUUCCUUCCCAGGAGUUAUAUAAUAGAAUAACUGGAUUGCAGAGACUUGGAAGUGCCGAGUGCAGACACUUGGUUCAGUGUCUUCCCACACAAUAAAUGAAAGUGGGCCAGGAUGAGGUGAAAUAGGAUUGGGGAUGCAAAAAUAGACAGAUGCUCUUUAAUUUUUAUUUUGAAGACAGGUUGUUUCAUGUGUCAGCCCUGUGCUGUAAGAACAGAGAUGCUGUGCCCUGCUGGCAUUUAUCAUCGUGGCUGCUGGUACCUGUGACAUCAGGGUGGUUUCAGAGGUCUUGACUCAAGGUGCACAGGAGCCCUGAACUGUGACUGCAUUCUCACCAACACCAGAGUGGGGGUUCCAGUUUCUGAAUGAGGCCAUUAAAGAGACAAGUUCACUACAUUCACUACCUGUUUUUACCCCCCUUCUGGCAUGAUAUCACAAGUGAAAUCUCCCAGGAACAACCUAUCAGGAAAAGACUGUAAUGUUAUUCCAUUUUAUUUUUUUUGAUAAGGAAGACAGGUGAGAUUUAAAGGCUGUUAAAGCUUAGAAAGUUGAAUUUCAAGCUAUUUUCCACUAAUUUAGUUUUUUCCUUUAGCCAGAUCCUACAUUAAAGGUUUUGCUUAUCUCAGGAAACAUAAGAGCUUACAAAGGCUUGUGCUGCACUGGGCUCCAGCUCUUCCAUAGGCACAGGGAGCCCUUAAGAACAGAGAUCCAGGUAAAUUUUGCUUAUCCCUAAUAAAGAUAGUGAAGUAGCUCAUGUAUCUGUCCAUCACUUGUCACCAAGUCUGUGGGAUUAUGAUAUAAAAAUGGCUUUGCAUUUCAUAGCUGUUUAAAAAGCAUAAUCUAUUUAAUAGCUUUAUGAACAAAUACUUCAGAAGAUGACUUUUACUUUCAGAAAAGGCAACCAUCUCCACAAAAACUUUAAGCCAUUAGUUUGCAGCAUUAUCUGUCAUGUUAAAAACGUUGUUCUGGAAAGCCAACUUUUUUUGGUUUUUUAAACAGGAAACACAAAAAGAACACACAACAAAGAUUUUAAAUUUUUAUCUUGAUAUUUUGAACAAGUAGAACUUUACAAGUAAAUAAUUCUAAAGACUGAAAAAUAUAUUAAUUACAAGACUCAUGAAUAUCUUUACUGUUACAAAAAUUGUCUAGGCUCUUAUACAAAUCUAUAGCUGGAGGGGGACAUUUAUAAAAAAAUAAAUAGGCACCCUAGGUAAGUUAAAACGAGUUAUCACAUAUUAGCAAAUAUUACAUACAUACAUACAUGGAGUGCAGAGGCAAAUAUAAAAAUGAAGGUGCCUUGAUUAGCUGUCUGUUUAAUCAUGAAAUACCUGGUAAACAUGGGGCACAGAGGAAGCUGUCUGGUAAGAUUGCUCCAAGCUAAGCAAGGAAACUGAAGUACACCUAAGUUACUGCAGCUACUUUAGAGAGGAGUUUACCAGUUGUGCUUACUGGGAGCAGGGUUCAUUGGUAUCAGUAAGAGGCAUUCAUAUUGCUCAUUGUACAGAAGUAUCAACAUUGCUAUGCAUGUUUAAAAAUAAGUGUUCUAGCAUCAUUCACAGUUAUUGCUGUGCUAUCCAUACAUAAAAAUACUGUCAUUUCAAAUACAAGUUUUUUUUUUUGCAAAACAGUUUACAAAUUAUACAUUAUUUACAAAUUCCAAUAAUCUUGGUUUUUACACAGGUAUUAGAGGACAGUUGUACUUAAGUGGCUAUGUAUAUUAUGUAACAUGGCUAGAUGAACUAGAAAAGUUUAAUUUACAGGUUCUGAAAUCUCUCAAAAAAUAUUACAAUAGGAAUCACCCAAGUUCUUACAUUUUUAGUGUUCUUCUGUAUUCAAUUAAUUUUCCUACAAAAGGAUCAUUGUUUAAGUUGCUGUUUACUAGCAGCCAUACAGAAACAUGCAUAGUAUUUUCACUAUCAAUUCUAGAAUUCAUUUUUUCCCCAAGUGCUACAACAAAUUUUGAUCAAGAAGGUAGAAAGGUUAAUCUGAGACACCUGGUUUGUUGCAUACAUAUAAUGUUCCAGUUCUACUGAAAGGUACGUGUUAUUUAAAAGAAAAAAAAAAAACCUGACCUUGCCACGGAAUAACCAAAACUACUGCUUAAAUGUUUCCUUGGAUAAUCAUGCUAAACAAUUGCCAUCAUUUGGUUGAAGCACUAAAACACAUGUACAUAAGGUUAUGAACAUGAAAAAAAGCUUUUCUGGUUUGUUCUUACUUUCAUAAUAAAAGGCAUUGAUGUUUAGGUGUAAUCAGCAGCACCCCAAGUUAACACUCCAAUGUGAAUAAUGGAAAAAUUUUACCUUUUUAGGUUGUGCCAGGCUUGGCUAUGCUGCCUCAGCACUCAGUAGAUGGUUCUGUGCACUGAUUUAACUAACCAGAUAAAAGCUAAAUACAUCUUCCUCCUUGUUACUGAGAUAAGUCAGGUUAACAAAAUACAAGGUAAAUUCCAGAGCUGCCUAAACUGGAGACAGAGUGACAGAACAGAGAAAGAGGAAACUCUUCUUUCCAUGCCCCCUUAACCACCAGUCUGGCUGCACAUUCAGCCUGACCUGCUAAUGCAGACCAUAUCCAUGUGUAGGACUGAUCCAAAUGGGAAAACAUGUUAGUAAAAAAAAGGAAAAAAGUCAAAUGUGUGAUCCCCAUGAACCUGGAAAAAAAGGGGGAGUUUAUUAAAUAGCAGCAUUGACUUUGCAUGCAAUUGUAGAAUAAGUCAGAACUGAACCUAAGUAGGAAUUACUUCUAAAAUGUUACAAAAUUAAUCUUUCAUAGUUGCAUAACUCUGUAUUUAAAAUUAGCAUCCUAUUCUGUUAUACUGGUUUGUAACUUAGGAAGUUAAAUUUAAUAAGUUAAAGUAUACAGCUUAAAGGAUGAGCAAAUCUGAUAAAUGUGUUUAAAAACAUACACUAACAGAGCAGAGGUAUUAAUAGGAAAGCAUUACUGCAGUUUACUUCAAUUCCCUUUGAAAGUCUAAUUUAACACUUGCAAACCAAAAUGGUUUUUAAAGAAGUAUUAUUAUUAAGGCUUUCCAAAUAAAAAAUAAAUCCUCUAGGUAAACUUGCAUUAAAGACACUUGAAGGUUUGUGAAAGCACAGACUCUGAGAGACAUCGCUUGAAAAAACCAUGUCACCUCCUGCUACCUCUGAGGAUAAAUACUGCUCUGUUAUGACUUCGUGCACUGCAUUAGUUGUGGUAGCACGCUUAUCCCUUUUGUUAGUCUAAGAACAGUGACCACAGUGUGAAGGAACACUUCUUGCACUGCAGCUAACCACAUCUUCUUACAGAAUGAGUAACAUCCAGCCGAUCCCUCUGCUGCAAGGUGUGCAUGCCCAAGGGACCGCAUGGAAUACAAACUGCAGAAGACAAGCUGAGUAACAGAGGACAGCCAUGCACGGUUAAAACCAGACGCCGGCUCGAUUGGGAAUUUUGGCUCUACGUUCUCUGCAAACCUAAAAAUGGGACACACAAACCCUGCUCAGCUGGAGCCCAGCAUCCUUAUCAACGGGUCAUUAAGAGCAGAGCAAUACAUGAAAGGUAAUUGUGUUCUAAAAUUUAAACCAGUCUGCUUUUAAGAUUUACAGACAUCUAUUUUCACAUCUGGGUAGUCAAUCCAGAUUUUCCAGAGAUGAACAUCCAUUCUACAGGUAAGACUAAGCCCACAGGUAGGACCGGUAAGGUCUUGUCUAAUACAGCUCCAUUUACACAGAGCAUGUGCAAAAAUGUGCCAAGUCCAGCUUCUGUGGGGAAAAAAUACCAAAUGAAAAUAAAUGCAAAACCCCUACAAAUACCUCCAACAAAAACUCAACUCCACAUUAAAUGCAACUUCCUCUUUAAAGGUUUUAGCUACACGUUUCCAGGAUUUUUUUUUAACAUUUCUUAAGUUGUCAAUAAAAAACCCAGCAACAAAGCAGCAUACUUAUUCAAACAAAUAUUUGUGAGCAAAUUCCUCUCUCUUAGCCCAAACAUUUUCUGUAUUCAGUCAAAAAAACAGGCAAACUUAUUGGAAGUUUUGGAAAUGUGGAAUAACAGCCUCCCAGUCAAGGAAGUAUGUUGUAACUUAUCCAAAAUGGAGUAUUAUUUCUGAAAUACAGUGAGCAAUCUUCUUUUUAAAAAAGUAAAAAAAAUCCUUUUAUUCUAGAGACUUUACUUUCGGAGCAACAUUCAGUUGCAAAAGCUUCCAUAGGUAUCUUUAUUUUAUCAUUUUAAGACACUAGUAAAGUCUUUGUUUCUCUUUCAUGGUAAGUUAACUAAGUAGCUACAAAGCUUUAAUUCUCUACUCAUUUCUUUCCACUUGACAUUAAUGUACAUUGACUGCACCAUAAGGGUAAGAACUGGAUUUCCUUAAGAGCAGUUGCAUGUUUUAAAUUAUUACUAUAAAUUUACAGUUUUCCUAAGUAUAUAAGCUGUCUUUUUCAGUUGUGGUUGGCUUGUGGGGUUUUCUGAAGUGACACAUAAGCCAAGGCAAUUUGGAUUUUUCUUACACACUAACCAGAUCUUCAGAAUGAUUCUAGAUUUCAGUAUGAGUUGUCCCAUGCAAUUGAACUGAACAAUGGGAAAACCAUUAAAAAACAACAGGAAAACCAUCAAAAUUAGUAAUCUUUCCUGAACUUGCAGAACACGAGGUUGGAAAUUUUGCCUUCACACUGCUCAUGUCUCAAGUUCUUUGUACUCAAAAAAAAUUUUGCCUCCUCAGCUCACCAAGUUCAAACUUUCAUAAACACAAAGCGAUUAACAUAAAUCAUGGAUACUACAUCUGCUUACUCAAUGUUUACAUUUUCCUCCCAAAAUCUGACCACACAAUUUAGGGAUUGGCUUUGUGGGACCUUUGCUUUGGUACUACAGUUAUCCACUGCUUACUGUCCAUGUAAGGAGCAGCCACUUGCUGUCCCAAUCACCAUGUGAUCCAGUGUUUCCAUCUUUAUAAUGUUCUGACAAGAAGUUUAUUUUUGUUAAGUCAGGGACAGAAUUCCACAAGUGUCUAACAGUAGCCUCAUUCAGCUCCAGUAAAAAACAAGGAGCUGGUAAAGCACAGUUAUACAAACGGUGAGCAUAAUUAGAAGUCCAACACUGUUUCCAUAAGAAGUUUUCCACACAAGAAAACCACUCAGACAUAUUUUUUUUUGGAGUUGCCAUGAGAGCCUAACAAAGAUUUCUUACAUUCCAUUCCUCUCUCAGAAAGGACUGAGCCUUUGUUUUUUAAAGUCCUAUUUUCUGGGAGUCUGUCUGGUAUUUACCUACCAAUCCCUGUCUCGUUCAUCAUAUUCAGAGGUGGAACACAAGGUAAUACAUCUGAUACCUCUAAAGGACUGCUGUUAUCCUUGCUAAAGGUGUCCUGACAUACUUUUUGACAGCCCAAAAACUGAGUCCAAAUAAAUUCUUAACCUCACAUAAAUGUAAAAUUAUCAGAUUCUUCAGAUUUCUUUUUGGCCCAUUGAUCACUUCCAUUAGAAGUAUUAUUUUCCAAAAUGGAGCUGAAUACAUGCCUUUUUUUAUAAGAAGCUAUUUAACAAUUAGUUCUGAAUUAGAAUAAUUGAAUAGAUGGGAUCCUAUCAUCAAUUUCUUUAUGAUACCUUGGAGGAUCACAUAGAAUCACUAUACUUCUGUAAAGAAAAUGUAGGAUGCAUGUUGAAAGCUUUAAGUAUUAUCAAGUACUCUCUCCAGAGAGCAGUUCAUUGCUUUAACCCACUCAUUUUUCAUGCCUAAGGAGCUUUUUAGUUUUUUGAUUUUUAAGUAUUUUUCACUGGAUUUUUUUUCCCUUUUUCCUAUCAAACUUUGGUAAGAAUGGUAUAGUACAGAACUGAAGCAGAAUAAAUCUCAUGCAAGUCAGAUCUUUUUGUUCCAUGCUACUAAAUUUUGAUUGUUUGUUUGUUUGUUUUGGGUUGUCAAAAUAAGCAAAUAUGAAAUUAGUUCUUUCUGCGCUAAAAAAUAAAUUAGAAUAAGGACAGAAAAGGUAGAAGUGGUAUGGCAACACCCCAACCCCCACUUUAAGUCCUAGGAGAAACUAUACUAUACAUUAUUUGAAAAGAAGUAUGAUAUCUAUAAAAAUCAAAUGUUUCCUGAGGAAGUGGCCUAAUAUUUAUUGCCCCUCUUUGUACAAGCACCCUCCCAUUGUUUCAACAACAGCAGAUAAUGAUUUUGGCUGGCCUCAUGCUGACCUAUAAUAUUUAUAUGCCAAGGCAUUUAUCAACUUUAUAAAACCCCAGCAGACACAUUAGUAUGUAAAAGGAAGUAGACUUCCUUAUUACAAGUGUUUCUUCCUGAUACUGCUUCAUAUCUGUGAGGAAAACAAAUGGUGCCACAGUCCACCCAGACAUUUAAAAAAAAAAAAAGUCUUGCUUAGUAUCCACCAAGAAAUGUCCUAGAGAAGCUUCUGGGGAAACCACAGGGAGUGAACCAAAUUACCAUGUCAUCCGUUAGGAAUUUUUGGUUUUGGGGCUGAGGGGAAGAGAAAUUCCGGUAUAUCUACAAUAGUUUUUGAAAACUUAAUUUUUAUGUG